GGCGCCGGGGAGCCCAGGGCAUGGUGAGUGUCCUCUCCCAGAGCUGACAGAGCGGGGUGGGUCAGGGAGGCGGGUGAUGAGCCCCGGGGUCCCAGUAUCCCACACGGUUCCCUGAGCUGAGGGGCUGGGGACCUGCAGGCCGUGUGGUACACCCGGGGCAGGGGCCAUGUAGGCUCUGUCCUUGGGGGGCUGGCUUCGUGGGACGGCAUCGGGAUCUUCUUUGACUCUCCGGCAGAGGAUACUCAGGACAGUCCUGCCAUCCGUGUGCUGGCCAGCGACGGGCACAUCCCCUCUGAGCAGCCUGGGUAAGGGCCUGUCUGGACUGACCACUCACCUCCAUUUUUGCACUGGGAGGGGCCCAUCCCCCCCAUCCGAGCCCCUGCCCCAGCCUCCUCCAGCAGGGGGCCCACCCUGCCGGGCCGCCAUACUUGCUGGACUCUCUCACUUAGCCGACGUCCGCCCCCCUGGGGCUUGAUUCCUUCGACCCAGCAGCCCCAGGUGAAAUGACACAGGCUGGGGCCUGUGAUGAGUAUCUUUGCUCCCAUGAUCUCAUCCCAUCUCCAACACCCUCCAUAAGUGGGGGGUUAUUCGUCCCAUUUACAGGUCAGGACAUUGAGCCCAGAGAGGGGAAGGGAUGUGCCGUGCGCAGUGCUGAACUUUGAGCCCAGACUUACCCCUGGAGGGUCCUCGCCCUUCCCUGCAUAGCUGUCCCUUCCCUUUCCCCUGAUGAUUUGGCUUCUGUCCCUCCCCGGCCCUACUGCCUCCUCAGUAGCUGGGCCGGUUUGUCAGUGUCUCUCAGCAACCUUCUCUCGGCUCAUAACAAUUAGAGUAAUUGCCUGCAUUUAUGGAGUGAGCUGAUUGUAUGCCAGGCACAGCACCAAGCCCUUCUCAUUUACUGUCUUAGUUAACCCUCAUAACAUUGUUAUGAGGUCGUUCCAAUUACCAUCCUCGUUUUAGAGAUGGGAACACUGGGGUUUGGAGAGAUGAGAUGGCUUGCCCAAGGUCACAUAGCUCGGGGCACAAACCCAGGUGGCUGCUGUGGUGCUGGCUUCUCCCCUGCCCUGUGCUGCCUCCCUCUUGGCGGAAGGCGGCACUGUCAGACGCUCUGCUGUGAGUAGCCUGAGGUGUCCAGAGACACUCAGCGUUUAACACUCUUCUCCUGACUCCCCAGAGCCUGCCGAGCCGACCUGUCAGGGAGGCAGCCUGGUCACAUUGUCCUUGGCUGCCGGGACAUGUCCAGGUCAUCCGUCCUGAGUCAGCUGCAUUCUGAGCCCUGGCAGCUGGGAGAGGAAAAGGAAGCCAGAGGCACAGAGGACUUGGAGUUUAAAAGAAGGAGGAGGGAGAGGCCAGGCACAGUGGCUCACGCCUGUAAUCCCAGCAUUUUGGGAGGCUGAGGCGGGCUAAUCACCUGAGGUCAGGAGUUUGAGACCAGCCUGGCCAACAUGGUGAAACCCUGUCUCUACU
RNAcentral lists this long non-coding RNA (1464 nucleotides) under Homo sapiens (human). RNAcentral's name for it is "HSALNT0222787". The record is from RNAcentral. Lineage: Eukaryota; Metazoa; Chordata; Mammalia; Primates; Hominidae.